GGGCUCUACGAAACCCAAAGGCGGAAUGAAAGUGAAGGCUGUCUCGCAUGGCUUAGGUGGGAUCCCCCGGCUGGUGGGGGCGCACCACCGGCCCGUCUGGUCGCCUCCCCCCUGUCCGUUCAGGGGUGCUUGAGGUCAGGCGGAGCAAGAGCGCACACGUUGGGACCCGAAAGAUGGUGAACUAUGCCUGAGCAGGUUGAAGCCAGGGGAAACCCUGGUGGAGGACCGUAGCGAUUCUGACGUGCAAAUCGAUCGUCCGACUUGGGUAUAGGGGCGAAAGACUAAUCGAACCAUCUAGUAGCUGGUUCCCUCCGAAGUUUCCCUCAGGAUAGCAGGCGCUCGAGGGUUCAGUUUUAUCCGGUAAAGCGAAUGAUUAGAGGCCUUGGGGUCGAAACGUCCUCAACCUAUUCUCAAACUUUAAAUGGGUAAGAAGUCCCGCUCGCCCGGUCGGAGCGGGGCAGUGCGCAGAAUGAGAGUGCC
The sequence is a ribosomal RNA, 480 nucleotides long. It matches the Rfam family "Eukaryotic large subunit ribosomal RNA", at positions 696 to 1123 of the family's 3401-position model.